GGCUCAGGACGAACGCUGGCUGCGUGCUUAACACAUGCAAGUCGAACGCUGAAGCCGACAGCUUGCUGUUGGUGGAUGAGUGGCGAACGGGUGAGUAACACGUGAGUAACCUGCCCCUGAUUUCGGGAUAAGCCUGGGAAACUGGGUCUAAUACCGGAUACGACCUCCUGACGCAUGUUGGGUGGUGGAAAGUUUUUCGAUCGGGGAUGGGCUCGCGGCCUAUCAGCUUGUUGGUGGGGUAAUGGCCUACCAAGGCGACGACGGGUAGCCGGCCUGAGAGGGCGACCGGCCACACUGGGACUGAGACACGGCCCAGACUCCUACGGGAGGCAGCAGUGGGGAAUAUUGCACAAUGGGGGAAACCCUGAUGCAGCGACGCAGCGUGCGGGAUGACGGCCUUCGGGUUGUAAACCGCUUUCAGCAGGGAAGAAGCG
This 434-nucleotide ribosomal RNA is filed under the name Brevibacterium sp. RNAcentral's name for it is "bacterial SSU rRNA". It matches the Rfam family "Bacterial small subunit ribosomal RNA", at positions 21 to 452 of the family's 1533-position model. The record is from RNAcentral. Lineage: Bacteria; Bacillati; Actinomycetota; Actinomycetes; Micrococcales; Brevibacteriaceae.